ACGUAGGUGGCAAGCGUUGUCCGGAUUUAUUGGGCGUAAAGCGAGCGCAGGCGGAAAAAUAAGUCUAAUGUGAAAGCCCUCGGCUUAACCGAGGAACUGCAUCGGAAACUGUUUUUCUUGAGUGCAGAAGAGGAGAGUGGAACUCCAUGUGUAGCGGUGGAAUGCGUAGAUAUAUGGAAGAACACCAGUGGCGAAGGCGGCUCUCUGGUCUGCAACUGACGCUGAGGCUCGAAAGCAUGGGUAGCGAACAGGAUUAGAUACCCUGGUAGUCCAUGCCGUAAACGAUGAGUGCUAAGUGUUGGGAGGUUUCCGCCUCUCAGUGCUGCAGCUAACGCAUUAAGCACUCCGCCUGGGGAGUACGACCGCAAGGUUGAAACUCAAAGGAAUUGACGGGGGCCCGCACAAGCGGUGGAGCAUGUGGUUUAAUUCGACGCAACGCGAAGAACCUUACCAGGUCUUGACAUCUAGUGCAAUCCGUAGAGAUACGGAGUUCCCUUCGGGGACGCUAAGACAGGUGGUGCAUGGCUGUCGUCAGCUCGUGUCGUGAGAUGUUGGGUUAAGUCCCGCAACGAGCGCAACCCUUGCCUUUAGUUGCCAGCAUUAAGUUGGGCACUCUAGAGGGACUGCCAGGGAUAACCUGGAGGAAGGUGGGGAUGACGUCAAAUCAUCAUGCCCCUUAUGCUUAGGGCUACACACGUGCUACAAUGGGUGGUACAGAGGGCAGCCAAGUCGUGAGGCCGAGCUAAUCCCUUAAAGCCAUUCUCAGUUCGGAUUGUAGGCUGAAACUCGCCUACAUGAAGCUGGAGUUACUAGUAAUCGCAGAUCAGAAUGCUGCGGUGAUGCGUUCCCGGGUCUUGUACACACCGCCCGU
This 871-nucleotide ribosomal RNA is filed under the name uncultured Bacillota bacterium. Its description in RNAcentral is "bacterial SSU rRNA". It matches the Rfam family "Bacterial small subunit ribosomal RNA", at positions 525 to 1397 of the family's 1533-position model. The record is from RNAcentral. Lineage: Bacteria; Bacillati; Bacillota.